GUAGGUGGCAAGCGUUGUCCGGAAUUAUUGGGCGUAAAGCGCGCGCAGGCGGUUCUUUAAGUCUGAUGUGAAAGCCCACGGCUCAACCGUGGAGGGUCAUUGGAAACUGGGGGACUUGAGUACAGAAGAGGAAAGCGGAAUUCCAAGUGUAGCGGUGAAAUGCGUAGAGAUUUGGAGGAACACCAGUGGCGAAGGCGGCUUUCUGGUCUGUAACUGACGCUGAGGCGCGAAAGCGUGGGGAGCAAACAGGGAUUAGAUACCCUGGUAGUCCACGCCGUAAACGAUGAGUGCUAAGUGUUAGGGGGGUUUCCCGCCCCCCUAGUGCUGCAGCUAACGCAUUAAGCACUCCGCCUGGGGAGUACGGCCGCAAGGCUG
Molecule: ribosomal RNA, 375 nt
Filed under: uncultured organism
Description: partial 16S ribosomal RNA
Rfam family: Bacterial small subunit ribosomal RNA
Source: RNAcentral